RNAcentral lists this ribosomal RNA (399 nucleotides) under uncultured bacterium. RNAcentral's name for it is "bacterial SSU rRNA". It matches the Rfam family "Bacterial small subunit ribosomal RNA", at positions 27 to 407 of the family's 1533-position model. The record is from RNAcentral.
GAGCGAACGCUGGCGGCGUGCCUAACACAUGCAAGUCGCACGAGAAAAGGGGUCGCAAGACCCCCGGUACAGUGGCGAACGGGUGAGUAACACGUGGGUAACCUGCCCUUGGGUUCGGAAUAACCUGCCGAAAGGCGGGCUAAUACCGGAUAACGCCACGGGGUCCUCGGACCUCGUGGUUAAAGCUGACCUCUUCAUGAAAGUUGGCGCCUGGGGAGGGGCCCGCGUCCCAUUAGCUAGUUGGUGAGGUAACGGCUCACCAAGGCUCCGAUGGGUAGCCGGCCUGAGAGGGCGACCGGCCACAGUGGAACUGAGACACGGUCCACACUCCUACGGGAGGCAGCAGUGAGGAAUCUUGCGCAAUGGGCGAAAGCCUGACGCAGCGACGCCGCGUGGACG